CCAAAUAUUUGGGUACCGUCUUCCCCAGUGAAGUUGACACAAAAUUAACCAUCACAGCUGCCUUCCUGUGGGCCUCAUGUUAUAUGAGAACAGUAUUGGGUGUACACUUAAAGCGUUCUGGGAAUAUGAAUCCCUUCUGCACCCUGGAAUCACCAGUCCAGCCAUGCAUGGAGCUGGGGAAAGCAGGCCCUGAAUUGUCUAGAGAGACUUGGUGGAGGAGGCCACGGCCCGCCUUGUCCCUGCCGGGUCCCGGCCAGGUGUGUGUGUGCCCCAGCUCGACUCUCGGUGGUCUCCAGGCUGCAGCAGAAGGAAUACCUUGGUAUUUGUUUCAUUUUAGUGUCCAUCCUUACCCUUCUGGUCUGGUAGAGCCUAUGGUUAUUCUUGGAUUCCACAUACAUGAAAAGCGAAGAUUUUUCUUUGUUUUUAUGCUUAAGCUAACUUCAGUUCUGCUUUCCCACAAAA
This 462-nucleotide long non-coding RNA is filed under the name Homo sapiens (human). Its description in RNAcentral is "non-protein coding lnc-PRPF18-1:3". The record is from RNAcentral. Lineage: Eukaryota; Metazoa; Chordata; Mammalia; Primates; Hominidae.